GCUCUGUAAACCUGGAAGCUUAUCUGUAUGAUUGCUGUUAAAGAUCACUUGGUAGCCGAUUACCAAGAGAUAGCCAACUCUCUCAGGGAAUUUUUGGAAGACCAUCAAGGCUCACAUGUUUAACAGGAUGCUGGAGAACAAAUCUUCGAGCUCUGGAAGGCUGGGCAACAGAAAUCGCAUGGCUCAUAUGCUGCUGCUGCGAUGAGUGUGACUUCCAUCUGCCCUGGCGUUACUGCAUCCCUCAUGCUCUCAUCAGCCUGGAAGGAUUGGCCUGGGCAGUGAGAGGAAGAUCUGCCCUUUUGAUCUCCCCUAACUCCCAAGGCGACACACAAAAAGAAGUCCCAAAGAGUGACUGGGGUAGAAUAGGACAGAAAUUUGGAUGCAAGAAAGCCCAAACUAUGACAUAUGUCCACUACAAUAAUUUUAUUUCAUCAAUCAUCAUCUAAUGACUACUGGAUAUAAGCCACACCCUGUGCCAGGUCUUAGAGACCCAAAGAGCCCUCCCUGUGGCCACAAGACGAUGGAUCAGCAGGGACCAUAACAGAAGGCAAGAGCUCAGUUAGAAGACUAUUGUAAUACUCCAGUCAAGAGGCUGCUGUCACACCAGAGAAACUGUCUCUUUUGCCUGGCACUUGUUCUUAUCCAAAGCUGAGUGUAGAAUUAUUCAGGAUGACUAAUGUUUCACCUCAGUCCUAAUGUCCUCCCACCGCAGCUUGAGAGACAGGAGUCCCCAAAGGAUCACAAAGUAACGAAUCUGGGCAGCCAGUGGAAAUGGAUCUCAUUCCAUCUCCAGCAGGUCCUGAGUCUUGUUAUGUAAACCUAGGGGUGUCCACAAGACACAAGCUCCUCUAAUCUAGGAGUCACAGGCUCGAGACCUUCCUCACUCACACCAAGCAGAUGGAGAAGAUUCAAGUUUUGCCACCAUGAAAGUAGGGUCAGAUGUUCAAGUGAAUUCCCAGUUGCCCACUGUGAAUUUAACGCCAAAGUAGCCAGAAGUUGGGAGACUAAGAAGGCAGGACUAUCCUAUGAACUCCGAUAAAUACACAGGGAGCUCUGUUCAGUUUUCCUAGCCGUUUGCAGCUGCACACAUGGGGUAUGGGAAUGUCGACACAUCCUUGCUCUGAGUGUAAUUAAUGACAAUGUGCCCAAUGUGCCAUUGACUCAGACAGAACACCUGACGGAGAUUCCGCUCGAGGCUUCUAUGGUCUCAGGGUGUGGAUGUGCCCGCAUGAACCACGCUGGAGUGUGUGAACAUCACCCUCCUGUUCCUGGCUGACUCAGAAGCAGAUCUAGGAGUCAGAAGACCUGGUUCAAGGCCUAGCCUUGCAAGGCAGCUAAAAACAAGCUUGUUAAUAAUCUCCCAGAGACCCAUCGUGCUCACUACAGGCCAGGCUCUGUCCUAAAUCCCUACAGGUUUCUCUGAUUUGAAGGAAGAAGAGAUUAUGAAAAGAAGAGAACAAGAAGAGAAUGCUGAGUGGGCUGUGGAAUCUGGGUGAAAAAGGAUAUGACAAAGAGGUCUGAAGGUGCUGGGUGGGGCACAGGAAAGGAAGUGUUGGGGGUCAGGGAAGAAGAGGAGGAGCAACUGAUGAAGGCCUGUGGGCUGGGAGACUUCCAGCAGGGAGCCAAAGACUUGGCUGCCAUCACACCCUGCUCCUUCAGACUGCCUCUCUCCUGCUUCCACAGAAAUGCAAUUCUUAGCUGGGUGCGUGGCUACUUAGGGGAAAAAAAAGAUUACAUUUCCCAGUCUCCCUUGCAGUUAGGUGUGGUCACAUGACUAUUUCAUAACCAAUGGGAUGUGAGUGGAACAUCCAGACUGUUUUCUUAUUGGGUAGGGGAGGGCCCUCCUCUUCUCCUUUGCUGCUAGAAUGUGCACAUGGUGGUGAUGAGUCAUCUUGGACCACUGAGAUGAGGGCAACACCCUACUGAUGGUGGAGACUACGAUUGGAGGAGACUGGGUGGCUCAUCAUAAACCAUCACACCUUCCGUGAACACUUAUGCCCAGGUUGUUACAGGAAGAGAAGUAGCUUCCAUCUUGUCUGAGCCACUGUUAUUUGGAUCUCUCUUACAUUAUGUUACCUUUGUCUAUGAGGCUUCACUUUUCCAUCCAUCCCCUUAUCUGCUCUGCCAUAUUUAAUAGAUUUUGGUACUUUGCCUCCCAAGACUCCCCUUGGAAUGUGCCUGGAGACAAGCCUGCUGUCUCAUUCUCAACACUUAUACUCGGAGGAGCCUACAGGGAAGCAAAACAAUCACAAUGAUGGCACGCGGGCCUUUUGGCUCUGGCUUCAUAGCAUCCACCAGCAAGCCAAGAUGUUAGCACACUUGAAUCCCAGACUUCCACACACUAGGAGCCAGGGUCACUGGAGGCUGUGAUCUAAGGAUGUGAUGAGGCUGGUCUGGGGGCUUCAUUGCCAUCCUUUCUUGCAUACAGCUCAGGACAACUUCUUUUGAUCCUGAAUGGCAGCGUCUGUGCUAAACAUCAUGGUUCUGCUCCAAAUCUCAUUUCUGCUCAUCAGCUGUGUUGAUAAUAAUGUAGAUUUACUUCUUUUCUUUCCUUUCCUUUUUUUUUUUGUUUUUUUUUUGUAUCUCUCAACAUCAGGAUCUAGACUCACUCACCCCAGGACAUUUGGAGAACCUCAAGGAGGCCCAGAUCUUAACAUGCCUAGUCUUUGUAAAACAAGGACUACUUACUUUUCUGGCCUGUUGCACAAUUAAGUUAGCAUUCAUAAACCUUCCUGAGAUGCUCCAGGCACAAGCUAUUACCCACAACAUUUUGCUGUGUUCCAGUGGGCCCCUUACAUUACUAAUUGCUGGAGUUCCACAAUUGCCUGCCCUGGUUUGUGCAGAGGGUGGCCUGUAAACAGUGGUCUCUCUACUUUCCUUUUCCUGGUUAAUUGUUGCCAGACUUGCUGUUCUCAAGACUAGAAAUCACGCCAGCUGAAUCGGCUUUGUGUGUGGGGCAUUUGCCUUAAAUGAUGCCAAAUCCAUUCUUGACCUAAUUAUAUGAAAUAUGCUUCAAUAAUUUUCCACGAGGUGAGUUAAAAUAAUGCCAGUACCGCAGCUUCAACCUCUCCUCCUCACUAUAACUUGAUUAAGAAGCAUUCAACCAUCUUGAAACACAUCAUGUAUUUCUUUCCAUGCUAUUAUGCUCAGGGUCCCUCGAAGAGCUGCCACAACCCGAGUCUAGCGCCAGGACUCUAGUGAAAGGAGCUGAGAUGGACUGUGGGCUGAAUUAUAAACUUAGAGCAUUUCUAACAACAGAAUCUGGGCUUCUCUUCUCUUCUUUCCCCUCUCUCUCUCUGUCUCUCUCUCACACACAAACAUACCCUCUUUGGCUGUGAAGGAUUCUUGUUCCCAACUUUUUCCUAUGCAACUCACUCCCGCACACCUAUCCUUUCAUAUCUGUUAUCCAGCAAAGUUUUGCUAAGGAGUUGCUCCAUUUCCAGAGCACUGGGACUCCAGCAUUUCAGCAGACAAUUGUUUUUUUUUGACUGCAAUCCAGAUGGAUGCUUCCGGCCUCGUUGUUUACUGUGGGACACACACACAGGCUCUUGCUUCCCCUCAUUCUUCUUUGGGCACCAAGUUUCUCUGUGUUUCAGUGGCCACGGAAAUCUCUCCUCCAAAUACAUCCUGUUAAACACAGAGACUGAAAACAUCCCAACCUGGAAGUCUGACUUGGGGUUGUUAUGCUUAUUUCUUACUGCCCAAGUUAAUCAGAUUUUACACGUUCUAACAGCAUGUGUCCUGUUAGCAAAGAGGGGGUAUAAUAUACUGUUGUUAAGGAUAAAAAUGUCCUGAUUUUAUUUCCUGUCUCUGAAUGGACGCCAAACCAUGAUACAUGUGUAGUUCUUUAAGAUACCCAAAUAAGUAUACUGAAAGCUGGUCCACUUGCCAAGAUGACAACUGGCUUGACAAUGAUGCUCCUUCAUCUCCACAUUUGUUUCAACAACUUUGCCAAAGCCUCAUAUUCAUUUAUCUUUUCUCUUCAGAAGGUUGGGAAGCUCAACCCUCCCCUUUGUCGCACUCUGUAAUGAGCCUUGGGCCAGCUGAUGAAGAGUAUCUCCUCAGAAAGUUCUCAUUUCUUUGUUUCUAGGAAAGUCCUAGAGGGUCUAUUCAUCAAGAGAAGACUCAGGAACCUCUAAACUGACAACCACACUCCAAGUCCAGGAAAGGGGCAAGAAAUUUCUUUCUUUCUACAGGGUUCUGUCUACAGACUCCUUUAGGCAUAUUCCUCUCCAGGGGAGUUGUGUUGGUCCUGGGUUCCGGGCUAUAUAUCCAUCAUAAAAUUUUCCUAGCCUGCUCCCCAAACUCUGCAUGUGUUCUCUGAGUCAUCGUGGCCAGGACCUCAGCUGUUGCAGCCCGGGGUCAUUCCCCAUGAGGCGCUCUUCUGCAUAAACAGUGUUAUUCCUCUGAGACCCACCUCCCCAUGCUCUGCUUAUCCUCAAUGCAAUUCAGCACACAAAUGUUGAACGCCUGCUCUAUGCCAGACAAAGCAGGCACAGUGUUCUUAACAAUUUUGAGUCUUGCAUCUCUUUAAAAAUCAUGGCAAAACAUGACAUUAAAAAACAUGACAGCUGUGGACCCUCUUUCUAGAAAAAUGCGUGUAUAUAUGAAUUUUUCUAGGCAAUCUCCGGAAGCCAGAUAAAAUACUCUAGGUUAAGAAGCUGCUGAAUGAAAAGAAAGUGAAUGAGACUUAGACACGUGUGGGGCUGAGACUUAGCUCUGUCAUUUACCAACAGUAGGACCGUGGGGGAGCGCCCCAAACUCUCCGAACCUCAGUUUGUUCAACCCUAAAAUGGGACUGGUAAGACUUGUCUCACCCUCAUGAGAUUGUAGUGAGAUUUUAUCAAAGGAUGGUUAUAGACAUAGAAAAUGUUAUAUCUGAGCACUCCCCACAUAUGUGAAUUGAUAAGGAUUUCAAAAUCUCACCCUUUGGAAGGAGGGAGGUGAAGAUUUGUGAUUGCCAAUGUUUUACAAAUGAAAAUUCUGAGGUAAGCUAAAAUGACAGGCUUUGCCAAAUUGAAUCUAAUCUUAUAAUUCCUCAGGGACAAGAAGACGAUAAAAUAUUAGGGACUAUAGAGUUUUCCAGAUCUGUUUCAGGCUCUGAUCUCGCCUUUGGGAGCCCCCUCAUUUGCCAACAGGGUGAAGAGCAACCUUGGCCCUCAUUCCUGGAAUCAUUUCUGUUGGUUGAUGUCUCUCUGAGGACUGCAAUGCUCACACAGAGAAACCGAUUCAUCUGGAAAUCCAAUACACCCGUGAUUCAUUUGGCUCAGAACUAAUCCGGGAGGAGGUUUCUUGGGGGUAUUAAAAUGUAUUCUCUUCACCUUCAGUGCUUUAAUAGUAGUUCUCCAGGGUUUUUGCCCUUACUUCAGUUCUCCCAAGAUGAUUCUAGGUUGAGAGUUUGGAUGAUGCUGCCAGAAAUAUGAUCGGUUCAGAAUAUCUGAGCCCACAUGCCGUUGUGAAGAAAGUGGUGAAGGAUUCAAGCUUGGCUUCCAUUUGCCUUGGAUAGUUGUAUUGAACCUGGAGCAGAUACUCCACUAAUAGGUGGAUAAGUAGGAAGAACUGGAAAUUUUCUGUUCAAAAUACGGACAGAAUCUGUUCCUGAGAAGUUUCUAGAAGCUCUUUAAAACAUUUGAUUGUGUUUACUUCUAAAAGUAGAGCACAACAGCUUGGUGUACUAAAGGUAUGUCAGCAGCCCUGUGUGCCAAAGGUUUGAACAUCACAAAAGCUUAGGAAGCCAGGGAGGGAGGGAAGAAGGAAGGAAGGAAGGCCAACAGAAAAUCGAAGCCAGUGCAAAUUCAAUGUCAGCAAUUCCCAAAUGAACACGAACCAGAUCCGUAGCUAAUGACGAGAGCGAGAACGUGGUCUUGGAGGCACACCUCGGUGUAGGCUCAGUCGUCUUCUUUACAGGAGCAUUUCAUGGGAGGCAUCUGAAGACACGGACCCUCCCCUUCUUUACUUAAGACUUUUCUGGGCAGAAAAAUAUUGCAUUAAGUCUUUUUUCAGAUGAGCAAACAAAUAACGGCUGUUUGGAGAGUCACUAAAAAUACGGUGUAACAUUAAAAAUUAAAUAAAAAUAGAUCAUAACCCGGAACAUUUUUAUUGGGCUUUAUAGAAAAUCUCAGACUUGGGUAGACUUUCCUGCUUUUGACCCUCACAACAGCCCUGCAAGGCAGAUAAAACAUACAGCUUUUAUUAAUCUCAUUAUGAAAUCAAACUAAGGCUCCAUGGGCUGUAUAAGGCCACAGACUGUCCUGUCUCAGCUUUGUGGUUCUCUUCAAGUCAUCAGGCCACAGCAGGAGAGAAGGAAGAAGCUCUGAAUCGAUAGCUGGCCAUAGGGGAAGAGGAUGGAAAUUGGGACAUGGGCUCCUAUGAGUUCCCACACCAAAGGCCAGACACACUAGGUACAAUCCAGGGCUGCUUGAGUCUUAUGGUCCGAGGGCAAGCACAAAAUGAGGCUGGAUAGGGAAAGCUGAGAUGGCAAGGAGGCCAUUGGAGUGAUCUGCAUGGAUUCCUGAGGAGUUGGAGUGGCCCACAUCCUGUCGUGGGAGCGUUUUGGUAAAGGGUCCGAGGCUCUGCUUCCAUUGGCCUUUGAUGGUUUUGUUGAGAUUUGAACUGGGGCUGGUAGUCCACUAGUGAAUGGGAAGAACUUCAAACCCAGGAUUUUCUAGAUUCUUUAGUCCAGUGCUGUUUCUUCUUCAGUAAGUGUUUUGUGUAGAAAAAACAAAAAUAUGUAUGUGCAUUUUAACGACUUGUCUCUGGCAGCAAAAUGAAAACCGUGAAUCAACUAGAGCCAAGUCCUGUGUGCAGGACAUCCCCGACCUUAAUCAUACAAAGGUGCCUGUCAAAAAGGGGCGGUAAGUGCUGGGAAGUGUCUGCAUCGUGCCUGAACCACUAGGAACUAAAAACAUCCGCUGGAGGGGUGCUUCCUUUCUUCUUCAAGGAGGUAAGUAGAAGUAACCUCCCCACCUAUUGGAGCCAAAAUGCAGCUUCCCAUCGGUGAGCCCAGCAAUCUUUCUUUCCCUUGAACAAGGUUCCCAUGUGGGUUCAUGAGAAGAUGAGUACUUUGGGACAUUAACAGAGGUUAUCCAAAGAAAGGCUUAGGGGCAAAACAUGGUGCUGAGAUAAACAAAGCUUCAGCAGGCUUUUCACUGCAGACCGUUCAGAACCCUUAAUACUCCAGGUACAUUGUGCAGUUCCAGAAGGGGCAUCCGGGAGGGAGGAGUCCCAGAUUUGGCCAUGGACUCUUGCCGUGUGAGAAUCUUGGGAGAAGGGUGUGCUGUAGAACAAAGUUUAUAGCAUGAUUUAGAUCUUCUGAAUACGUUGUAUUCAGAUGAGCAAAGAAAAUGUAGCUGAUCAUUUUUUUUAAAACUAGUCUAAUUUUCUUCAUAACACCCUAUCCUGUUGGGUAAGAGGUAGGAGCGACCAUGUUUAUUUAAGUCCAAUGAACUUGCUUAAAUGCAGUCAUUUAAAGUCUUUCUAGGUCUUUUGGGGAAAGUUCUCAGCUCCCACCUCUGCUCCUCUGAGGUGACAUCUAAGUAUAGGGGAGAGGACUGUAUUCUACAUGGUUAUUGGAGGGAGGGUGGCGUGGUUGGAUAGGUGUGAGUUCCAUUGGUUCCACGCCAGUAUCUGCUGUGGAACAACUGGCUGGGACUGCUGCAUGGUGCUGACCAUUCGGUCUGGGUGCUUUCUUGGUGUCGCUGCUGUCCUCUGCUGCUGCUGUAACUCACAGGCUGGUCUCUCUUAGGUUGACUUGGCCCACCAUUGCUUCUGCUGGCACCACAGACCCUUUUGAGUCUCUGUUCCACUGCUCUGAGGCCAUUUCAUCUCUCACCAAGGCCUCCUGGCACGUCCAUUGGCUCUCAAUUCAGCUUUGUUGUCCCCUGAGAGGGUAACAUGGGGACUGUGGGGUGCCUUCCACAUCACCUAGGAGCCAAACUCCCUCCACUACAUCAUGCUGUGCCCUGAGUUUUCUCUGAUGUGGCUGCACAUGGAAGGUUGGUAUGGGGAGCUCACAGGGGAAUCUCCUCCCAGGGUUCCAAGUGAGACGUGAGGUAGAAAUGCUGUCCCGAGUUUCUCUCCACUCAUCUGCCACACUACCUUAGCCCAGAGGCGUGCCCGCCCAACUGCCGGUUUCUCCUUCCCUAGUCUCUUUUCUUUUCCCAUUGAUUGAGACUCUUUGACCUAAAAGGCUAGGAUCAAUCGAUUGUCUUCAGGCCCACCAGCACUGCACUUCUCCCUAAAGGGUCGGGAUAGAGGGACUUACAAAACCCUUCCCGCAAAGACAAAGCUUGGAUUCCAAGACUAUUUUCUCACUUCAAAAUCCUAGUUCGGAUGCUAGAAGCUAAACGUUAUCUCUUCAUCUUUCUUUGCAUCUAUAAGAUCCCUAAAAUUCCCCAAAGCAAAACAAUUCCCCUUGAAGAAAAAGGAGGAGUCAUCAGUACAAGAAAAAAAUGUAUUUGUAUGUUUUAAAAUAUUAUUUUGAUUAUCUGGGAUUUGCUGCUCAGAGAAUAGUAUGGCCAACCAAAUAGAGUUAGUGGGACCUAAAACAUUUAAUUGAACAAAAUGGGGGAUCGUUCUUAUGAGAGUUAGUGAAAAACAGUUAUUUUCAGUCUGUCCCCAGAGUUACAAAAUGCACAAAGGUAAAAUAAUGACAUGUGUACUGUACUCAACUGCCUCCAGCUGAACUGAGAAAGCCGGAAAUGCCUACUAGUCAGUCACUUCCUUGCCCGGCCUGCUGCAGACUUAAGAACCUUAGCCAAGCCCCAUGUGAACACAGAGCACAGGGCCAGAUGCAUGCUCUCACAGGCUCGCGCUAGGAUCAUAAUCACCCAAUAGGCUUCCAACCUUUAGAGUACUACAGGCCCAGAUUUUAGGGGACUAAGAUGAACAGUUCUACUUGAGAUUGCUCAAAUUUAUAGCUUCUGUGGUUGGAAGAUCUUUUAAAAUUAUUCUUAUAAAAAAUUGCAAACAUAUAGAAAGGAAC
Equus caballus (horse) is the source of this 8983-nucleotide long non-coding RNA. NCBI's taxonomy places the organism in Eukaryota, Metazoa, Chordata, Mammalia, Perissodactyla, Equidae. The record is from Ensembl.